RNAcentral lists this ribosomal RNA (437 nucleotides) under uncultured Anoxybacillus sp. Its description in RNAcentral is "bacterial SSU rRNA". It matches the Rfam family "Bacterial small subunit ribosomal RNA", at positions 945 to 1382 of the family's 1533-position model. The record is from RNAcentral. Lineage: Bacteria; Bacillati; Bacillota; Bacilli; Caryophanales; Anoxybacillaceae.
UUUAAUUCGAAGCAACGCGAAGAACCUUACCAGGUCUUGACAUCCCCUGACAACCGAGAGAUCGGCGUUCCCCUUCGGGGGACAGGGUGACAGGUGGUGCAUGGUUGUCGUCAGCUCGUGUCGUGAGAUGUUGGGUUAAGUCCCGCAACGAGCGCAACCCUCGACCUUAGUUGCCAGCAUUCAGUUGGGCACUCUAAGGUGACUGCCGGCUAAAAGUCGGAGGAAGGUGGGGAUGACGUCAAAUCAUCAUGCCCCUUAUGACCUGGGCUACACACGUGCUACAAUGGGCGGUACAAAGGGUCGCGAACCCGCGAGGGGGAGCCAAUCCCAAAAAGCCGCUCUCAGUUCGGAUUGCAGGCUGCAACUCGCCUGCAUGAAGUUGGAGUUGCUAGUAAACGCAGGUCAGCCAUACUGCGUUGAAUACGUUCCCGGGGCUU